Molecule: ribosomal RNA, 439 nt
Filed under: uncultured bacterium
Lineage: Bacteria
Description: bacterial SSU rRNA
Rfam family: Bacterial small subunit ribosomal RNA
Source: RNAcentral
UACGGAAGGCAGCAGUGGGGAAUAUUGCACAAUGGGCGCAAGACUGAUGCAGCCAUGCCGCGUGUAUGAAGAAGGCCUUCGGGUUGUAAAGUACUUUCAGUCGUGAGGAAGGUGUUAAGGUUAAUAACCUUAGCAAUUGACGUUAGCGACAGAAGAAGCACCGGCUAACUCCGUGCCAGCAGCCGCGGUAAUACGGAGGGUGCGAGCGUUAAUCGGAAUUACUGGGCGUAAAGGGCACGCAGGCGGUUAAUUAAGUUGGAUGUGAAAUCCCCGGGCUUAACCUGGGAAUGGCAUUCAAGACUGGUUAGCUAGAGUCUUGUAGAGGGGGUAGAAUUCCAUGUGUAGCGGUGAAAUGCGUAGAGAUGUGGAGGAAUACCGGUGGCGAAGGCGGCCCCUGGACAAAGACUGACGCUCAUGUGCGAAAGCGUGGGGAGCAAAC